This 463-nucleotide ribosomal RNA is filed under the name uncultured bacterium. Its description in RNAcentral is "partial 16S ribosomal RNA". It matches the Rfam family "Bacterial small subunit ribosomal RNA", at positions 28 to 507 of the family's 1533-position model. The record is from RNAcentral.
GAUGAACGCUGACAGAAUGCUUAACACAUGCAAGUCGAUUGGUAAGUGGUGCUUUCCCCCUUGCCACCUUGGCUGCCGGGUGAUUAACGCGUCAUGGACUUACUUGCAGGACUGGGAUAACAGGGGUAAACUCCUGACACUACCGGAUAAUGUCAUUGAGCUUUAUGUCUUUAUUAUUUAAGGAGACGCCUGCGGAGAGCCUUGCUUCCUAUUAGCUAGUUGUUGCUGUAAUGUCUCACCACGGCGAAGAUAGGUAGCCGGCCUGAGAGGGUGGACGGCCACAAGGGGACUGAGAGAAGGACCUGACACCUACGGGAGGCAGAAGUGAGGAAGAUUGGACAAUGGGGGCAAACCUGAGACAGCAAUUGUGUGGGAACGAAGAAGGGUAACGGAUGGUAAAGUGCGUUCAGCAAGGAAGAAGUAAGUGACGGUACCUGCAGAAGAAGCGACGGCUAAAUACGUG